RNAcentral lists this ribosomal RNA (587 nucleotides) under uncultured bacterium. RNAcentral describes it as "bacterial SSU rRNA". It matches the Rfam family "Bacterial small subunit ribosomal RNA", at positions 338 to 916 of the family's 1533-position model. The record is from RNAcentral.
CCUACGGGAGGCAGCAGUAGGGAAUCUUCCGCAAUGGACGAAAGUCUGACGGAGCAACGCCGCGUGAGCGAAGAAGGCCUUCGGGUCGUAAAGCUCUGUUGUUAGGGAAGAACAAGUACGAGAGUAACUGCUCGUACCUUGACGGUACCUAACCAGAAAGCCACGGCUAACUACGUGCCAGCAGCCGCGGUAAUACGUAGGUGGCAAGCGUUGUCCGGAAUUAUUGGGCGUAAAGCGCGCGCAGGCGGUCCUUUAAGUCUGAUGUGAAAGCCCUCGGCUUAACCGGGGAAGUGCGUCUGGAACUGCUCGGCUCGAGUACGGGAGAGGGAGGCGGAAUUCCCAGUGUAGAGGUGAAAUUCGUAGAUAUUGGGAGGAACACCGGUGGCGAAAGCGGCCUCCUGGACCGAUACUGACGCUGAGACGCGAAAGCGUGGGGAGCAAACAGGAUUAGAUACCCUGGUAGUCCACGCUGUAAACGAUGGGCACUAGGUGUGGGGGGUAUCCACUCCUCCCGUGCCGCAGCUAACGCACUAAGUGCCCCGCCUGGGGAGUACGGCCGCAAGGUUAAAACUCAAAGGAAUUGACGG